Molecule: unclassified non-coding RNA, 179 nt
Filed under: uncultured fungus
Lineage: Eukaryota; Fungi
Description: sequence contains ITS1, 5.8S rRNA gene
Source: RNAcentral
AAGAGUAAGGGUCCCAGUGGCCCAAACCUCCAACCCCGUGCGUACCUUACUCCACAAGUUGCCCUGGCGCAUUGUCGUCCCUGCCGAAAGGGGGGUUCCGGCGUGCCUGCCGAGGGUCAAAAGAAAAAACUCCACCGAAUCUAACCUUGGAAGUCUGAGUCUAAACGAAAAUAGCUAAA